GUGCCAGCAGCCGCGGUAAUACGUAGGUGGCAAGCGUUGUCCGGAUUUAUUGGGCGUAAAGGGAACGCAGGCGGUUUUUUAAGUCUGAUGUGAAAGCCUUCGGCUUAACCGAAGUCAUGCAUUGGAAACUGAAAGACUUGAGUGCAGAAGAGGAGAGUGGAACUCCAUGUGUAGCGGUGAAAUGCGUAGAUAUAUGGAAGAACACCAGUGGACGAAAGCGGCUCUCUGGUCUGUAACUGACGCUGAGGUUCGAAAGUGUGGUAGCAAACAGGAUUAGAUACCCUGGUAGUCCACACCGUAAACGAUGAAUGCUAAGUGUUGGAGGUUUCCGCCUUGGUGCUGCAGCCUAACGCAUUAAGC
This 360-nucleotide ribosomal RNA is filed under the name uncultured Lactobacillus sp. RNAcentral's name for it is "bacterial SSU rRNA". It matches the Rfam family "Bacterial small subunit ribosomal RNA", at positions 505 to 865 of the family's 1533-position model. Lineage: Bacteria; Bacillati; Bacillota; Bacilli; Lactobacillales; Lactobacillaceae. The record is from RNAcentral.